AAGACCCUCCCCAAUCGCAAGGCUGAGGAAGGACAGGGUUGGUUCUCUGAGCACUGGUGCCAGAAGGAAGAAUGAAUGAUACGUAGCAAGACAACAGGUAUCCCCUAAGGGUGAGUCCUCCCUCACUACUCAGUCCUAUCCUACCUGAGCCAAAUACACCUUUGAAGACAAUCAUGGCCUUUACGUGCCCAGAGUGGAGCGUGACCAGAUGAUUACGUUCAAGCAAUAACAGAAGAAAAUAAAACAUUCUUACUGUUUAAACAGGAUCUAGUAAAUGUACUUUUUCUCCAGGGGACAAGCUGAAGAGAUCAGCAACCACUCUGAAUACGGAAAGGUAGCCCAGUGUGGCUGUCAUUGGAAAUGCGAGUAGGAGGAGAUCUUGAAGGGAGCAUCCUAACCCUAGGAAAAAGGAAGGAGAGCGUGGCUGCCAUGCAUGGUCAAUUUGUGGGCGCGAAGAGGUUAGAAGAAAAGCAUCUGAAGCCCCUUUUCUCCUCUUACGAAACUCCUAUCAUCUGAGAUAUGGACUCUGUGCUGACGGAGCGUGUGGCAGCACACAAUGCAGGUGGCAGGAAUACCCCUGGUCUGAUCUCUGGUUUAUUCCAAUGUUUGAAACACAGUGGGCCUCAGAG
This 629-nucleotide long non-coding RNA is filed under the name Vulpes vulpes (red fox). RNAcentral's name for it is "lncRNA (ENSVVUG00000022328.1)". Lineage: Eukaryota; Metazoa; Chordata; Mammalia; Carnivora; Canidae. The record is from RNAcentral.